This 484-nucleotide ribosomal RNA is filed under the name uncultured bacterium. RNAcentral's name for it is "partial 16S ribosomal RNA". It matches the Rfam family "Bacterial small subunit ribosomal RNA", at positions 30 to 507 of the family's 1533-position model. The record is from RNAcentral.
AUUGAACGCUGGCAGCAGGCCUAACACAUGCAAGUCGAGCGGAUGAAGGGAGCUUGCUCCUGGAUUCAGCGGCGGACGGGUGAGUAAUGCCUAGGAAUCUGCCUGGUAGUGGGGGAUAACGUCCGGAAACGGGCGCUAAUACCGCAUACGUCCUGAGGGAGAAAGUGGGGGAUCUUCGGACCUCACGCUAUCAGAUGAGCCUAGGUCGGAUUAGCUAGUUGGUGGGGUAAAGGCCUACCAAGGCGACGAUCCGUAACUGGUCUGAGAGGAUGAUCAGUCACACUGGAACUGAGACACGGUCCAGACUCCUACGAGAGGCAGCAGUGGGGAAUAUUGGACAAUGGGCGAAAGCCUGAUCCAGCCAUGCCGCGUGUGUGAAGAAGGUCUUCGGAUUGUAAAGCACUUGAAGUUGGGAGGAAGGGCAGUAAGUUAAUACCUUGCUGUUUUGACGUUACCAACAGAAUAAGCACCGGCUAACUUCGUG